Molecule: long non-coding RNA, 1820 nt
Filed under: Homo sapiens (human)
Lineage: Eukaryota; Metazoa; Chordata; Mammalia; Primates; Hominidae
Description: non-protein coding lnc-IGSF10-8:1
Source: RNAcentral
CUUGGACAUGGCUUUACCGAGAAAUAAAUGAAUUAAUAAGCAUAAACUCUAGGCCAUACUUAGGUCAAAAUAAGUGAAGUUACAGUGAGCUCCUCAGAUUCUUCUAGAAAGUAAACAACCCAUCAAUCUUUAAUACUAAGUCAUCUGAAUAUGAACUAGCAUCCUAAAAGUGAAAAGCUCUAAUGGUACAUUACAAAUUCCUGAGUCAUUUUGUCCUCACAACUUUAUGCUUUAAAUAAAACUGGCUAAAGAAAAUCUACAAGUGACUCAGUAUGACUUAGUGUUUCCAAACCAGGAAAAGGAAGGACUUUCAGUGUUUGAGAUAAGGUUUUUUUCUGUAGUUUGGAAAAUAAACAUUUCCUAUUCAGUUAUGCCCAGGGGCAGGGUGUGUGUGUGUAUGUGUGUAUGUGUGUGUGUGUAGGGGAAGGAGUGUCUGUGUGAGUAUGAAAAGAGAAGAAGAGCAGGAACGAGGGAGUAAGACAGGGAAGGAGAGAGGGAGAAGGGAGAGAAAGAGAGGGAAAAGGAGAAAAAGAGAUUUUUUUAAUCAGUAUUUGGUGUUCACGUAAAAUGGUUACUUUCUGCAAAAGUUACCUCAGCAAAUUAUGUGUAAGCAAGCCAUGGAAGCACUGCAAUUUGUAAUAAAAUCAAUGGGAAUGGCUUACCUGACUGUAUAUAGUAGAUAAUCCUUAUCUAUGGGGAAUACAUUCCAAGACCCCCAGAGGAUGCCUGAAACCAUGGACAGUAACAACCCCUAAAUAUACUAUUAUUUUUCCUAUACAUACCUACAAUAAAGUUUAAUUUAUAAAUUAGGCACAGUAAGUGAUUAACAACAAUAACUAUAAUAAAACAGAACAAUUAUACUGUAAUAAAAGUUAUGUGAAUAUGGUCUCUCUCUUGGUUUCUCUGUCUCAAAAUAUCUUAUCGUGUUGUACCAUGGGUAACUGAAACUGCAGAAAGUGAAAUUGCAGAUAAGGGGGGAUUACUGUAUUGCAUUCUGUACUGCAUUUCCAUGAAUUCAGUGACACACAGUGAUGUAUUCCAUGUCGUUAUAGCAAAUAAUAAUCUUAGGUGUCUAAAUUAGACUGAAUUUUUUAUUUCAAUAGGCAUAAGCCAUUUUCUGCACCUAAAUGAAAGUAGCAUUUUUUUUCCUGAUAUAAAAAUGGGCAGAUUUUUGUCCUGGUGUCAUGCUAAUAUAACCCCAGAGGUGGCAAGCAUAGUGGCUCAAGCCAGUAAUCCCAGGACUUUGGGAGGCUGAGACAGGAGGAUCACUUGAAGCCAGGAGUUUGAGAUAACCCCAGAAUUAUCUACUUUAUUUAAAGUACAUUUUAGCUGGGCAGUGGUGUGCAUCUGUAGUCCCAGAUACUUGGGAAAGUAAGGCAGAAGGAUCGCUUGAACCCAGAAGUUUGAGACCAGGCAGGACAACACAGAUUCAGUCUCUAAAUAAAUAAAAUACCUAAGAACACUCAGAGUGGCUGAAAAUGUGUUCAGCAAAAUCUGUUCCACUAAUGUCCCUAAUAACGUCAGUAGAGACUAGGGAUUAAUGAGACUACCAAUAAACACACAUACACACACAUGAACAUACACACAAUGUUUACUAUCUUGUUUUCUGUUAUAAGGAUUGCUAAAUAUUUUUGUAUGAUAUAGACAGUUACAAUUUAUAUUUUUUAGAGAAUUCAUAGAAAUAAUCCUUAAAAUAUUUAGAGAUUGGUACUCCUUUGACAGAUAAAUAAAUGCAAAAGUGAAAAUUAUUUCAAACCAAUAGCACAUAUAUCCCAUGAUAUCCACAAUGGUUUUAUUUUAUCCAUCACUUGAAAGUAAAA